AUUGAACGCUGGCGGCAGGCCUAACACAUGCAAGUCGAGCGGAUGAAGGGAGCUUGCUCCUGGAUUCAGCGGCGGACGGGUGAGUAAUGCCUAGGAAUCUGCCUGGUAGUGGGGGAUAACGUCCGGAAACGGGCGCUAAUACCGCAUACGUCCUGAGGGAGAAAGUGGGGGAUCUUCGGACCUCACGCUAUCAGAUGAGCCUAGGUCGGAUUAGCUAGUUGGUGGGGUAAAGGCCUACCAAGGCGACGAUCCGUAACUGGUCUGAGAGGAUGAUCAGUCACACGGGAAGUGGGACAGGCUCCAGACGCCUGCGGGAGGGCGCAGUGUGCAAUGGUAGACAGCGGUGGAGAGCCUUAUACAACCAUCGGGAGUGUGUGAAGAAGGUGUUCGGAGUGUAAAGCCCGCUAUCUUGUUGUAAAGCGCAGUAGGUUGAUACCAUGCUGUUUUGACGUUACUGGCAAAAUAAGCACCGGCUAACUACGUG
RNAcentral lists this ribosomal RNA (484 nucleotides) under uncultured bacterium. RNAcentral describes it as "partial 16S ribosomal RNA". It matches the Rfam family "Bacterial small subunit ribosomal RNA", at positions 30 to 507 of the family's 1533-position model. The record is from RNAcentral.